CCUACGGGUGACAGCAGUGAGGAAUAUUGGUCAAUGGACGAGAGUCUGAACCAGCCAAGUAGCGUGAAGGAUGACUGCCCUAUGGGUUGUAAACUUCUUUUAUAAAGGAAUAAAACGAGGCACGUGUGCCUUUUUGCAUGUACUUUAUGAAUAAGGAUCGGCUAACUCCGUGCCAGCAGCCGCGGUAAUACGGAGGAUCCGAGCGUUAUCCGGAUUUAUUGGGUUUAAAGGGAGCGUAGAUGGGUUGUUAAGUCAGUUGUGAAAGUUUGCGGCUCAACCGUAAAAUUGCAAUUGAUACUGGCAGUCUUGAGUACAGUUGAGGUAGGCGGAAUUCGUGGUGUAGCGGUGAAAUGCUUAGAUAUCACGAAGAACCCCGAUUGCGAAGGCAGCUCACUAAACUGUGACUGACAUUGAUGCUCGAAAGUGUGGGUAUCAAACAGGAUUAGAUACCCUUGUAGUC
This 460-nucleotide ribosomal RNA is filed under the name uncultured bacterium. Its description in RNAcentral is "partial 16S ribosomal RNA". It matches the Rfam family "Bacterial small subunit ribosomal RNA", at positions 338 to 795 of the family's 1533-position model. The record is from RNAcentral.